UAAUACGUAGGGGGCGAGCGUUGUCCGGAUUUAUUGGGCGUAAAGAGCUCGUAGGCGGCUGGGCAAGUCGGGUGUGAAAACUCCAGGCUCAACUUGGAGACGCCACUUGAUACUGCCCUGGCUUGAGUCCGGUAGGGGAGCGCGGAAUUCCUGGUGUAGCGGUGAAAUGCGCAGAGAUCAGGAGGAACACCGGUGGCGAAGGCGGCGCUCUGGGCCGGUACUGACGCUGAGGAGCGAAAGCGUGGGGAGCGAACAGGAUUAGAUACCCUGGUAGUCCACGCUGUAAACGUUGGGCACUAGGUGUGGGGCCUCAUCGACGGGCUCCGUGCCGCAGCUAACGCAUUAAGUGCCCCGCCUGGGGAGUACGGCCGCAAGGCUA
Molecule: ribosomal RNA, 379 nt
Filed under: uncultured bacterium
Lineage: Bacteria
Description: bacterial SSU rRNA
Rfam family: Bacterial small subunit ribosomal RNA
Source: RNAcentral